GAAAUGCGGUAAGUAAUGUGAAUUGCAGAAUUCAGUGAAUCAUCGAAUCUUUGAACGCACCUUGCGCUCCUUGGUAUUCCUUGGAGCAUGCCUGUUUGAGUAUCAUGAAAUCUUCAAAGUAAAUCUUUUGUUAACUCAAUUGGUUUCUACUUUGGUAUUGGAGGUCUUUGCAGCUUCACACCUGCUCCUCUUUGUUCAUUAGCUGGAUCUCAGUGUUAUGCUUGGUUCCACUCGGCGUGAUAAGUUAUCUAUCGCUGAGGACACUGUAAAAGGUGGCCAAGGUAAAUGCAGAUGAACCGCUUCUAAUAGUCCAUUGACUUGGACAAUACUUUUAUGAUCUGAUCUCAAAUCAGGUAGGACUACCCGCUGAACUUAGGC
RNAcentral lists this unclassified non-coding RNA (378 nucleotides) under plant metagenome. Its description in RNAcentral is "partial contains 5.8S ribosomal RNA, internal transcribed spacer 2, and large subunit ribosomal RNA". The stretch from base 1 to 105 matches the Rfam family "5.8S ribosomal RNA", at positions 50 to 154 of the family's 154-position model. The record is from RNAcentral.